GAUGAACGCUGGCGGCGUGCUUAACACAUGCAAGUCGAACGGAAAGGCCCAAGCUUGCUUGGGUACUCGAGUGGCGAACGGGUGAGUAACACGUGGGUGAUCUGCCCUGCACUUCGGGAUAAGCCUGGGAAACUGGGUCUAAUACCGGAUAGGACGAUGUUUUGGAUGCCAUUGUGGAAAGUUUUUUCGGUGUGGGAUGAGCUCGCGGCCUAUCAGCUUGUUGGUGGGGUAAUGGCCUACCAAGGCGUCGACGGGUAGCCGGCCUGAGAGGGUGUACGGCCACAUUGGGACUGAGAUACGGCCCAGACUCCUACGGGGGGCAGCAGUGGGGAAUAUUGCACAAUGGGCGCAAGCCUGAUGCAGCGACGCCGCGUGGGGGAUGACGGCCUUCUGGUUGUAAACUCCUUUCGCUAGGGACGAAGCGUUUUUGUGACGGUACCUGGAGAAGAAGCACCGGCUAACUACGUG
This 468-nucleotide ribosomal RNA is filed under the name uncultured bacterium. RNAcentral's name for it is "partial 16S ribosomal RNA". It matches the Rfam family "Bacterial small subunit ribosomal RNA", at positions 28 to 507 of the family's 1533-position model. The record is from RNAcentral.